This 259-nucleotide transfer-messenger RNA is filed under the name Muribaculaceae bacterium. RNAcentral's name for it is "partial transfer-messenger RNA". It matches the Rfam family "transfer-messenger RNA", at positions 102 to 374 of the family's 374-position model. Rfam says of the family: Bacterial tmRNA, also known as 10Sa RNA or SsrA, is named for its dual tRNA and mRNA-like properties. Its role is to liberate the mRNA from a stalled ribosome. To accomplish this part of the tmRNA is used as a reading frame that ends in a translation stop signal. The record is from RNAcentral. Lineage: Bacteria; Pseudomonadati; Bacteroidota; Bacteroidia; Bacteroidales; Muribaculaceae.
GAUCCCUUUAUUCUGCUCAAAGUGAGCAGAACGAGACAUCGCUCCAUUGCCCCGUUCCGAGACGUUUGGACAAAGCGAUGCUGAGAAAUUCGGAAAUAGGAGAGGAGUAGCCUCGGCUUCCCUCCGAGAUUUAGAGGCUAAGGAUGCAGUUGGUGGUCGCGAGCCUGCUGCGUCUCGAAAACCAAGUCGAUGACUAAGCAUGUAGAAAACUUAUUGGUUCCGCGUUUGGACGAGGGUUCAAACCCCUCCACCUCCACAA